Xiphophorus maculatus (southern platyfish) is the source of this 354-nucleotide long non-coding RNA. RefSeq lists it as uncharacterized. The record is from RefSeq and is a predicted model, not a curated record. The transcript is spliced from 2 exons. Lineage: Eukaryota; Metazoa; Chordata; Actinopteri; Cyprinodontiformes; Poeciliidae.
UUGUCAAAGAUCAGCUGUGAUUAUUUGGCCUCAACUCUGAAGUCCAACCCGACCCGUCUGACAGAACUGGACCUGAGACACAAUAACCUGAAGGAUUCAGAUGUUCAGCAGCUGAAGCGUUUUGUAAAGACAGUAAAGUGGAAGACAUUUAGGUUAAAGUAGAAAAUGGUCUCUGUGUCCUGCUGAUCCUCAGAGGUUGAAGCUGCAGCAGUUUGAGUCUAAAGAGACUCUGACUGGAUCAUGAUGAUGACCUCUGACCUCCAAGAUUUCCCUCCUGUUUAUUUCCUCAUGUUGUCAUUUAGUGUCUGAUAUUGUUUGUCUCUUUGGAUCAAUAAAGAUCCAAUUCAAACUGGG